RNAcentral lists this ribosomal RNA (150 nucleotides) under uncultured eukaryote. RNAcentral's name for it is "partial small subunit ribosomal RNA". It matches the Rfam family "Eukaryotic small subunit ribosomal RNA", at positions 1651 to 1798 of the family's 1831-position model. The record is from RNAcentral.
CCCUGCCAUUUGUACACACCGCCCGUCGCUACUACCGAUUGAAUGGCUUAGUGAGACCUCUGGAUUGGCCAAUAGGACUAGGCAACUAGACCUAUAGGCCGAGAAACUGGUCAAACUUGGUCAUUUAGAGGAAGUAAAAGUCGUAACAAG